RNAcentral lists this long non-coding RNA (4060 nucleotides) under Lupinus angustifolius (narrow-leaved blue lupine). RNAcentral's name for it is "long non-coding RNA (LANG_LNC001975)". The record is from RNAcentral. Lineage: Eukaryota; Viridiplantae; Streptophyta; Magnoliopsida; Fabales; Fabaceae.
CAAAACUGUACAAAUGCUUCUCUAUUAGCUAAUUUUACACUCCUUUCUAAUUUCAUUUUCCCUAGUUAGGUUCUUCUUCUUACCACUUUCUUCUUUUGUGAAUGAGUGUAGUUCCAGGGUGACGGUACCAAACAUGUAGAUCUAUUUUACUCCUUUCUUCUUACUUCUUUCUUCGACAAAUAUGUAGAUCUGUUUUAGGUAUGGUGGUUUCAUUCAUGGUUUAAUAUUUAUAUAAUGAUUCAGAAAUAAAAACUAUUUUCUUGAUCGUUUCUUUUUUUUAUGUUUCAUUUAUGGUUUCAUUCAAGCAAAAUAUGAUGGAUGUUGAUAGGUCUUUCCAGUGGCACCAUGUUGGGAAAGAAGAUACCAUUGAAAUCUUCAAUGGUAACAUUAAUAGUGAAUCUUGAAACUUAAACCUAUUGCUUAUUUUUUAACCUCCAUUUUUUCUAUUUCUUUUGAAUAAUAAAUAGUUUUAGAUGCAAAGAAUUCAGAUUCAUUAAAGGAAUGAAACUCAAAUAAACGGCUCGAAGUAAAUUUACAUGAAUGCAUUCAUUGAUACAUAAAAAUGUUAAUAAUCAUCUCUUUGUUUCCCAAUUUUUAACAAUCAUCUCUUUUGCAUUCAUGUAGCAUGGAGAGGAAGAGGUGAAUGAAGAAAUCUGUGAGCAAAAUAUGGUUGACGAAAUGUUUCACUCACUACAUUUGGAGAGAAAAGGGAGACAAUCAAACAAACACGAGUUCACUUCUAAAUUCUAAGGUCAUGUUUAUUAAAUAAUUUAAUUUCAACUUUGCAUGAGAUUCUUUCAUCACCAUUUAGGAAAUUCAUGUGACUAUCAACUCAACCUAAUUUACAUUCAUUAAUAAGAUGAUAUAAUACAAUGCAUACCUCUAUUCUAUUAGUAUGGCAAGCACACAUAUUCAAUUUAUGAGGUUCACGUUAAAGUCGUAAUGAGUAAAGCUUACAUUGUUUGUUAUUGUGUCUGUUAAUAAGUUUCAUGUACAAAGAAUUGAUUUUUUUUAAUGAAUUUUUCAUUUUUUUUCCAGCUCUUUUGUUAUUUUUGUUUGGUUAAUGCAUAAAUUCAAACUAUUAUAUCAUGCAAAUGUGAAAGUGAAAGUGAUAAUAUGAUAAGGUUUCUCAUGUGGCUAAGGAGUUGCAUUUCGAUAAGGAUGGCUCUGCUAUCGGAAAGCUCCAGGUAUAGUAGUUGUAGUGAAAGUCAUAGUCAUCACGUUGUUGAGCGAUUUUGAAAUUCAAGUGGAAUCAGGGAAUUAAUGGAAAUAACUAAAAUACAACUCAAUGGAGAUGAACAUUUAAUUAAUGUUCUGUUAAGUAUUUUUGGAUGAGAGUUGAAUCUUUUUUGGUAAUUUUAUCUAAUAGUAUUUGAAGAUGUUGAUGACAUUUUUAUGUAAUAUUUGUUUUGUUGUUUUUUAUUUUUUGUGAUUGAAAGUGGUGUGAACAAACUUGAGGAUCUGGCUGGUGUUACACUAGAACCAAAAAUGAAAAAAUAUUGUGUUGGAAAGCAAAAUGUGGAACUGUUGUUAGAGAGGUGUGUAAUGUAUAGUGUGAUGAUAUAUUUGUCUCAUUUAAAUUUAUAAUCUAAAGCUGGUUUUGAAUUAUGUAAUGCUUUUGGUUUUAUUGUAUAUUAGGAAUAUUAGGAUUAUGAUGAUUGUUGUAACAACGCAAAUUUUACGAUUUUGAAUUAUAAGAUGUUAUUAAUAUUGUUAUUAAUUAUAUUUUCGAAAAUGAAUUUCUGGGAAUUUUCGGUAAAGAAUUAGACAAAACUCUAGUUGAGUUUUAGUCUUGUAAUUCUAUUUCCAAUUUGGUGGUAUAUUUUCAUGAUUUUCGGAGACAGUCGGUUUCGGACCACUGUCGGGGCCAAAUCUCACCCGGUACGGCUCAAAAAGUGGUUUUUGAGUUCCGUAACUCGGAAUCGAAUUCUGAUUGCGCCGUUGGCUUCGAAAUUUCAUUUCGAGUCAAUAUAGACCCUGAUUACACCCAUACCUAUUUUCUAAAUAUUUUUCACUCGGAAUGCUGAAGUCCGAAAUUGUAAUCAGAUAUUAAGAUCGGGCGAUUUAUAAUUCCCGAUCGAGUAUUGGCUGAUAAUACUCAGGCGUGUUUAUUGCACUGUGUCCGCGAAGAGGUCGUUUUGCGUUGGGAUGCGAAAUUUGCUUUUCCAUAAAGUAAACCUCCCAUCACUUUCUCAAAUAUCUCAUGAGCUCAUCAUUAGCCACCCUAGGAGAUUUUUCUAUGAUUGCCUAGUGGGAAAUCUGAUUUCCUUCUCUCCUUAAACCCUCACACUUCACACUUCACUCNNNNNNNNNNNNNNNNNNNNNNNNNNNNNNNNNNNNNNNNNNNNNNNNNNNNNNNNNNNNNNNNNNNNNNNNNNNNNNNNNNNNNNNNNNNNNNNNNNNNCUUAUGAAAAUAUUUUGUUGGAACCAUGAACAACUUGUGUUCAUGGAGUUGUUAUAAUAUUGUAUUACAUGAAUUUGGUUGUUUAGCCAAAGGGGAUGAUGAUGAAAUCAAAGGAACCUUAAGGAAGUGUUUUGGAAAAAUGAGAAUGUAUGUAUUUCUAUUUGUUGUUAGCCUUAAACCAUGGCUUGGAACAUGUUGAAACAAUAGAAACUUUUGUUAAAAAGGAUGUUAAGGUUUAUGAGUACAUGAAUACCUCAUAAAACUCUUAAAGGAUACUUUGAAUAACUUACUUUAAAAUGGUAAGAUUAUCAAAGAACGUCUUAAAUCGGAACACGUAGUUUGACUAAAAACCGUACCUUUAAAUAGAUGAUAACCGUGAACGAACUUUCGAUGAAAAAUGAUGGUCAAGAACAUGUGAUGUUGGACCAGAUGGAUGAAAGGGAUGUAUAAUCACGAAGGGGGAAAGAGAAAUGAUUUUAAGUAUUUUAGUAACGAUUUUAGAAACAUCGGAAACUAACGGAUUUUUAUUUUGGUAGUUACGAAGAUUUCGGUGUUUGAACCUUGAAAACAAACCACCCUUAGUUGACGAGUUAAAGCACGCUUCAUUAAGGUGAGAGAGAAUACAUCGUGACAUAGUGGUGUCCGAAUAUGACACCCGGAUCUCCUAAACCAUCUCAAAAGUUUUGGAGUUAACUUGGGUUUUAAGAAACCCAUGAUUUUUUAUGUUUGAAUGCUUUUGAAUAUACAUGAUUGUGAUGAAAUAUGUUGAAUAUUGUAUAUGAAUGUUGUUGAAUAUUUUUUCUGUGUGCAGGUGUUUGAAAAACCAUGUUUAAAUGUGUCUUCGGUUGUCGGAAAGGGCAAAAUUGGUAUUCUGUCUAAGUCCCUGUCGCUUGGGCGAGAUACUCUCGCCUGGGCGAGGACUGGGCAAGGGACUAGGCGAGGGGAAGUUUUGACUCUGGAACUCCCUCGCCUGGGCGACAAAUCUCGCUUGGGUGAGAAAGCCCAGAAUUUUAAUGAGUUUCUGUAACUCUCUCGCUUGGGCGAGAGAUGCCUCGCUUGAGAGAGAAGAGACCCCGCUUGGGCGAUAGUACCUUCGCCUGGGCGAGGAAGGCUUAAGUUUAUUUGAGAUUUAAAGAUUGAAAUAAGAUGAGGUUAUGAAUAAUGUGAUGAACCGGGUAGGGUGUGUUGUGAUAUAAAAGUUGUGGAAUGAGAUCAUGGCUUAGAUGAGAAGCAUGAUUCCACAAAAGUGUGAAAGCAUUGUUUAUGUUUAUGCCUUGUUGGGCAAGUAUCCGACUUGAGGUCGUGAACUAGGGGGAUACCCUAGUAAGAAUACAUGAUAUCACGGAACAACGAUCGAUCGACCGUAAGAGGCUUGGUCAUGUGACCGUCCAGGAGUAUUCGGUGAUGGGUUGUUGUGAUUGAGAUGUUACCUUGAGCAUGUACGGUUGACGUACUAUCGGGGGGGGAUAGUGAAUAUGUAGUUUUCGCCUUGUUGACUUAGUUUGUAUGAACUAACUAUGACUUAACUGAUUAUAUGCAUUGUGUUAUUCAGAAAAUUGUGAAUCAGAUUAAGUUAUCAUUCGAUAACGAUAAGUUGAUUUUCCGCAUUCAAGUUACUUAAAGUGAUGUCCCGGAAAAGGAAGAUUUGAAAAGGAG